This 379-nucleotide unclassified non-coding RNA is filed under the name soil metagenome. Its description in RNAcentral is "partial contains 5.8S ribosomal RNA, internal transcribed spacer 2, and large subunit ribosomal RNA". The stretch from base 1 to 120 matches the Rfam family "5.8S ribosomal RNA", at positions 35 to 154 of the family's 154-position model. The record is from RNAcentral.
GAUGAAGAACGUAGCGAAAUGCGAUAAGUAAUGUGAAUUGCAGAAUUCAGUGAAUCAUCGAAUCUUUGAACGCACAUUGCGCCCGCCAGUAUUCUGGCGGGCAUGCCUGUUCGAGCGUCAUUUCAACCCUCAAGCCCCAGCGGCCUGGUGUUGGGGACCGGCGACCUCGCCCGAGUCCGCCCUCCGGGGCGCGUGCCCGGUGCGUCCGCCGCCCCCGAAAUGAAUUGGCGGCCUCGUCGCGGCCUCCUCUGCGUAGUAGCACAACCUCGCAAGCGGGAGCGCGACGCGGCCACUGCCGUAAAACGCCCAACUUUUUUAGAGUUGACCUCGGAUCAGGUAGGAAUACCCGCUGAACUUAAGCAUAUCAAUAAGCGGAGGA